Molecule: ribosomal RNA, 1170 nt
Filed under: Bacillus aerius
Lineage: Bacteria; Bacillati; Bacillota; Bacilli; Caryophanales; Bacillaceae
Description: bacterial SSU rRNA
Rfam family: Bacterial small subunit ribosomal RNA
Source: RNAcentral
GGAGCUUGCUCCCGGAUGUUAGCGGCGGACGGGUGAGUAACACGUGGGUAACCUGCCUGUAAGACUGGGAUAACUCCGGGAAACCGGAGCUAAUACCGGAUAGUUCCUUGAACCGCAUGGUUCAAGGAUGAAAGACGGUUUCGGCUGUCACUUACAGAUGGACCCGCGGCGCAUUAGCUAGUUGGUGAGGUAACGGCUCACCAAGGCGACGAUGCGUAGCCGACCUGAGAGGGUGAUCGGCCACACUGGGACUGAGACACGGCCCAGACUCCUACGGGAGGCAGCAGUAGGGAAUCUUCCGCAAUGGACGAAAGUCUGACGGAGCAACGCCGCGUGAGUGAUGAAGGUUUUCGGAUCGUAAAGCUCUGUUGUUAGGGAAGAACAAGUGCAAGAGUAACUGCUUGCACCUUGACGGUACCUAACCAGAAAGCCACGGCUAACUACGUGCCAGCAGCCGCGGUAAUACGUAGGUGGCAAGCGUUGUCCGGAAUUAUUGGGCGUAAAGGGCUCGCAGGCGGUUUCUUAAGUCUGAUGUGAAAGCCCCCGGCUCAACCGGGGAGGGUCAUUGGAAACUGGGAAACUUGAGUGCAGAAGAGGAGAGUGGAAUUCCACGUGUAGCGGUGAAAUGCGUAGAGAUGUGGAGGAACACCAGUGGCGAAGGCGACUCUCUGGUCUGUAACUGACGCUGAGGAGCGAAAGCGUGGGGAGCGAACAGGAUUAGAUACCCUGGUAGUCCACGCCGUAAACGAUGAGUGCUAAGUGUUAGGGGGUUUCCGCCCCUUAGUGCUGCAGCUAACGCAUUAAGCACUCCGCCUGGGGAGUACGGUCGCAAGACUGAAACUCAAAGGAAUUGACGGGGGCCCGCACAAGCGGUGGAGCAUGUGGUUUAAUUCGAAGCAACGCGAAGAACCUUACCAGGUCUUGACAUCCUCUGACAACCCUAGAGAUAGGGCUUUCCCUUCGGGGACAGAGUGACAGGUGGUGCAUGGUUGUCGUCAGCUCGUGUCGUGAGAUGUUGGGUUAAGUCCCGCAACGAGCGCAACCCUUGAUCUUAGUUGCCAGCAUUCAGUUGGGCACUCUAAGGUGACUGCCGGUGACAAACCGGAGGAAGGUGGGGAUGACGUCAAAUCAUCAUGCCCCUUAUGACCUGGGCUACACACGUGCUACAAU